GCCUUACCAACGCUGCGUUUCUUUGCUCUCACACAGACGCCGAGUCUCGCACUCGGUUGUCCUACUUGCAAAUGAGAAAUUCGGAGUAAUCUUCACCUCUUUUUGUUAUCUCGCUCCGCGAGCUCUGUCAUCACUGCCCGUGAGGGCCUGGCGUGAUUCACGUCUGCAUUUGGCAUCAGAAAACCCAGGACCCAUAAGCAAAGAUACUGCUCUUCGGAGCGGUGUCUGCGUGAUCUGGUGCUCCUAUGGAAGUCGGUGCGAAGAUAGUGUGCCUCGGUCUAACCGGGGUGACACCAUAGUGCAAUACGCAGCGUGCUCGACCUUGAGUAGCUUCGGCGAAAGAGCGAGGGUAUCAUUCGAUUCCGAUUACUCUGGUGAGGC
RNAcentral lists this RNase P RNA (381 nucleotides) under Clohesyomyces aquaticus. Its description in RNAcentral is "Nuclear RNase P". It matches the Rfam family "Nuclear RNase P". Rfam says of the family: Ribonuclease P (RNase P) is a ubiquitous endoribonuclease, found in archaea, bacteria and eukarya as well as chloroplasts and mitochondria. Its best characterised activity is the generation of mature 5'-ends of tRNAs by cleaving the 5'-leader elements of precursor-tRNAs. Lineage: Eukaryota; Fungi; Ascomycota; Dothideomycetes; Pleosporales; Lindgomycetaceae. The record is from Rfam by way of RNAcentral.